AGAGUUUGAUCAUGGCUCAGAAUGAACGCUGGCGGCGUGCCUAACACAUGCAAGUCGAACGAGAUUUGAGGAGCUUGCUCCUUGGGUCUAGUGGCAGACGGGUGAGUAACGCGUGGGUAAUCUACCUUCGAGUGGGGCAUACCAGGCCGAAAGGCCUGUUAAUUCCGCAUGAAAUGGUUGUCAUCUUGGUGGUGACCAUGAAAGCCCGGGAUCUUCGGACCGGGUGCUUGAAGAGGAGCUCGCGUUAGAUUAGCUAGUUGGUGAGGUAAUGGCUCACCAAGGCUACGAUCUAUAGCCGGCCUGAGAGGGUGAUCGGCCACACUGGAACUGAGACACGGUCCAGACUCCUACGGGAGGCAGCAGUGGGGAAUUUUGCGCAAUGGGGGAAACCCUGACGCAGCAACGCCGCGUGAGUGAAGAAGCAUCUUGGUGUGUAAAGCUCUGUCGAUAGGGACUAAGUGCCGCUGCUUAAUAAGUAGUGGAAUUGAAUGUACCUAUAGAGGAAGCCCCGGCUAACUCCGUGCCAGCAGCCGCGGUAAUACGGAGGGGGCAAGCGUUAUUCGGAAUUACUGGGCGUAAAGGGCGCGUAGGCGGCCUGUUAAGUGAGAAGUGAAAGCCCACGGCUUAACCGUGGAACUGCUUCUCAUACUGGCAGGCUAGAGAAUAGGAGAGGAAAGUGGAAUAUCCGGUGUAGCGGUGAAAUGCGUAGAGAUCGGAUGGAACACCAGUGGCGAAGGCGACUUUCUGGACUAUUUCUGACGCUGAGGCGCGAAAGUGUGGGUAGCAAACAGGAUUAGAUACCCUAGUAGUCC
RNAcentral lists this ribosomal RNA (812 nucleotides) under uncultured bacterium. RNAcentral describes it as "bacterial SSU rRNA". It matches the Rfam family "Bacterial small subunit ribosomal RNA", at positions 8 to 796 of the family's 1533-position model. The record is from RNAcentral.